Molecule: ribosomal RNA, 424 nt
Filed under: uncultured prokaryote
Description: bacterial SSU rRNA
Rfam family: Bacterial small subunit ribosomal RNA
Source: RNAcentral
UGGGGAAUCUUGGACAAUGGGCGCAAGCCUGAUCCAGCCAUGCCGCGUGAGUGAUGAAGGCCCUAGGGUUGUAAAGCUCUUUCGCCAGGGACGAUAAUGACGGUACCUGGUAAAGAAGCCCCGGCUAACUUCGUGCCAGCAGCCGCGGUAAUACGAAGGGGGCUAGCGUUGUUCGGAAUUACUGGGCGUAAAGCGCGCGUAGGCGGAUCAUUAAGUUAGGGGUGAAAGCCCAGAGCUCAACUCUGGAACUGCCCUUAAUACUGGUGAUCUUGAGACCGGGAGAGGAGAGUGGAAUUCCCAGUGUAGAGGUGAAAUUCGUAGAUAUUGGGAAGAACACCCGUGGCGAAGGCGGCUCUCUGGCCCGGUUCUGACGCUGAGGUGCGAAAGCGUGGGGAGCAAACAGGAUUAGAUACCCCUGUAGUCC